RNAcentral lists this ribosomal RNA (497 nucleotides) under uncultured bacterium. RNAcentral's name for it is "partial 16S ribosomal RNA". It matches the Rfam family "Bacterial small subunit ribosomal RNA", at positions 28 to 507 of the family's 1533-position model. The record is from RNAcentral.
GACGAACGCUGGCGGCGUGCCUAAUACAUGCAAGUUGAGCGCUGAAGGUUGGUACUUGUACCAACUGGAUGAGCAGCGAACGGGUGAGUAACGCGUGGGGAAUCUGCCUUUGAGCGGGGGACAACAUUUGGAAACGAAUGCUAAUACCGCAUAAAAACUUUAAACACAAGUUUUAAGUUUGAAAGAUGCAAUUGCAUCACUCAAAGAUGAUCCCGCGUUGUAUUAGCUAGUUGGUGAGGUAAAGGCUCACCAAGGCGAUGAUACAUAGCCGACCUGAGAGGGUGGUCGGCCACAUUGGGACUGGGACACGGCCCAAACUCCUACGGGAGGCAGCAGUAGGGAAUCUUCGGCAAUGGACGAAAGUCUGACCGAGCAACGCCGCGUGAGUGAAGAAGGUUUUCGGAUCGUAAAACUCUGUUGGUAGAGAAGAACGUUGGUGAGAGUGGAAAGCUCAUCAAGUGACGGUAACUACCCAGAAAGGGACGGCUAACUGCGUG